Molecule: long non-coding RNA, 3319 nt
Organism: Cynoglossus semilaevis (tongue sole)
Lineage: Eukaryota; Metazoa; Chordata; Actinopteri; Pleuronectiformes; Cynoglossidae
Exons: 8
Source: RefSeq, a predicted model, not a curated record
UCAGGUUGUCAGUGGUUUUUUUGUUUUGUUUUGAUCACAUGAUGAAGACCUCGCUUCCCUGAUGAAGUGAGGCCUGUGUCCUCCCCUUUAAGAGUGCGGUGCAUAAUGGGAGAUAAGGUGUUGCUGUUUUACAGGUGAGCAAGCACAAAAAGUGAAGAAAAGUUAUAGAACCAGAGAACUGCGGUUGGACGUUUUUUUGACGUUUUAAAGUGAUAAAAAGGUUCGGUUCUGAAAGGUGCAACACCUUCUCUUUGUUCAGACGACUGGAGCGGAGUGCGUCAAAACAGUUACCAGCGCAGGGGAGCUUUAAUGGAGUCUCGAAGUUUCCUCUGACCUAUGAGCUGAAAGGUACCGCUUGUGUCUGAGGCGGACGGCAGUAAUUCAACUGAGCCCCUGCUGCUCACGGAGCCCCACGGGACUUGACCCUCCCAACUCGGGUUGGACACAGUAGCGGAAUGCGGAGUGAACAGCCGGUCAUGUUUGAAAUGCCACUUUAUCACUGUGGAAACGUGGUGCCACCCAUCUCCUCCUCCGACAGCCCUCACACAGCUAACAGAUCCUCAGUCAUAUUUAGAAGUAAUGCUGCACCAAACUCUCCAGUGGAGGAAGGCCCUGCAGACUACGUUACAUCACCAUGGCAACAGUUGAGGAGUGAGAGAGAAACGGCCAUCAGACAACAACCCGUCGUCCACCUGUAAAUGUUUGGGCCAAAGUCAGAGCCACGACAAAAAGAAGUUCCAGAAGAAGAUUGAGAGCCAUGAAUGAACCUGGAUAUUUGGCUCUGAACGUUCAUGAGGAGGUUGGAGCUGUUGGCUGGUUUCAGGAGGACGCAGGAAACGCCACGAGAGGGGCUGUGGACGCUGCAUCUCCAUCCUGUGAGGUCUGGGAGGACCUUGCACUCCUCACCCUCCAUACACGGCUGCAUCUGGCACCACCACUUCUGGGCUACGAUGGAGGCUGAAUGAAGACACAGACGUGGGACUCAAUGAACAAAAUAAAGUAAAGAAAACAUCCAUUUUGGAGCCUCGUCCAGCACCACCUCCUCUUCCUCCUCCACCUCCUCUUCCUCCAGGACCUGCCUCAGGGUCAAACGACAACCUGCAACCAGAUAAUGCUGUGACUCCCUGAUUACAACUUACUCCGCAAUCAAUGAACCAUUAACAGGGGCACAUGGUCAGUACACAUGUACACACAUACACACACACAUGCACUCUCUUCCAUGGGACCCAUCAAUGUCAGUCCGUGUCUCAUGCUAAACAGGUACUUACAUUUAUUGGCUCUGACUGUUGGCCACAGACCUGGGAGUGGACUCUCUUUACAGCAGCACCGUUGUUUCUCCUUCAUAUUUCGUUUGCAUAUAUUCACUUUAAACAUGAUGCCAACCUUGACCGCCUUCCAAGCUCAAUUUCCAACCUCCCACGUUCAAUAUAUCUUGGCUCAGUCUUUUAGUGCACAGCUAAACCAUCUCAAACCUCCCUCAACUUUAUCUCCAAAAUACUGAAGAGCGGCUGUAUCUGUGGUCUGCUUGAUUUAAUCCUGUCCUUCUAGAAUAUUCAUACAGUAUAAAUACAUAACAACAGGUCCAUCAACUGGAUAUAAACUUUUCCCUUUCCUCUCCUUUCGUCCUUUUUUCAUCUUCUACACAAGACUCAAUUUUGAGAGACUAUUUUGACUAUUAAUAUAGCACUUUCUGUCUUAUGUCCGUUAAUUGACAUUACGGUUUCACUUUCCAUUUUCUUCAUAUUAUGAGAUAACUGCAGCGGACGUUUACUGACGGAAACAUUUAAGUUGUGAAUCUUGUCUUGUCUAUCAUCUGCUCCUCACCAGAUCUGUUUUAAUGUUGCCACUGCUUUGUGCAGAGCUCAGCAAUUAACUGUAUGUCUGGAGAUAUACUACAACAAGAGAGCUCUCUCUCUCCCUCUCUCUCUCCCUCUCCCUCUCUCAUCUGUACACCAUCCAUUCCAUUUAUGAAAAUGUUUGCCCUUGCCUUUUCAAGAAUCUCUCAGUAAGACAAGCUGAUAAUUCCUGACAGCCACACAGGCCUGCAGUCGAUCUUACACGUAAACAUAGCUGUAAAUACACAUGAAGCUACAUUUUCAAUCUCCUGAGUCUGCAAAAGUGCACAGCACUGAGCUGAAUGUUCUCAGUCUUCAAACAACGAUGGCUGAAGUGCUUUGUUCUUUCAAAGACACCUAAAAAAACAUCUAUUCACUUCAGUCCUUUUCCCCUUCAGUCAACCGUUAAUACGGUAAAGUGCACUGUCAGCAUUAUAAAUGUUUCCAGUGACGUAAGAGGCGGAAAAAUAUCAAUGGAAACCGAGGGUUGAGGGUUCAGUGUGAGGGCACCUGCUGCGUGUCACCAUCUCGCUUCACAUUUUGAAGACAUCGCUGCCUGUCAGAUACACUCAGUCCAAACACAAUAUCUUCCAAGGUCAAACUUUUCAUCUUCUUUUCAUUUGUUUAUGUAAUUACAAAUGACUUCUUUUUAUUCAGUAAAUGUGUUUUGAAAUACCGCUGCCUCCUACUGUAGACCUUGCUCAACAAGUCUGUCAAAGCAGUAUUGGAAAACAAGGCCAAAGGGUCGUGAGUAUAGAACACAAGCUCGCCUGGUUUUCCAACCCCAACAAAGGUCUCUGAUCCGUGGUGAAACCCAAGGCCAGCAUCAAAGGAGGAGUGCACUGCACCAAGUGCCAUUUAGGGCCACUGCAAUCAACACUUGGAGCUCGGUUUUCAUUAAUCAAUAUCAAAUUGAUUUUAUCCAAGUCUUAUGACAUGAUAUGGAUGAACACAAGAGCUGAAAUAUCUGAGUGUAAUCCAAUGACAGCUCCACUGGCUCCAUGUCCAGUGGCUGAUUCAAAUCAGAGUCCUCGGUGCCAACAAAUACUUUUAUUGUUCCCACUCAUAAACUUUGUUCUAUUUUUAACUACGUUAACUAAUAUUUGAAACGAACACCGCUGUGGCAUCAGGAUAAAAUUGGUGCAGAGGCGAGUUUGAACGCUACGCUAGUAGGUUUUCGCUGACUUGAUCUGCUGAGCAGCCUGCAGUCUUUGGUGUCGUAUUCUGCGCCUCAUCAAGAGCCAGACAUUUUUAAAUAAGGGACAGAUGUGUGGACUGUAAUCAGGUCAGACGGUCCAGUUUAUUUAGUGUCUACAAAGCAUUGCUUUUUGCAGUUUGUGUAGAAUGAAUCCUGCAGAAAUCCACUGAGGUCCUUGGAGAUAAGUUCUCUGAUCAAUGGUUAAUAUUCAUGUGCAGUACUGUAUAUGCAGCGCAAAGAUACUUGGAGAUAAGUCUGAUCAUUUUAAUACGUGUCACAAUGAUAA